UCUAGUGGCAAUGGCGGAGAGGACACACCCGUUCCCAUCCCGAACACGGAAGUUAAGCUCUCCAGCGCCGAUGGUACUUGGGCACGAGCCCCGGGAGAGUAGGUCGUCGCUAGGC
This 115-nucleotide ribosomal RNA is filed under the name Effusibacillus lacus. Lineage: Bacteria; Bacillati; Bacillota; Bacilli; Caryophanales; Alicyclobacillaceae. The record is from RNAcentral.